CCGGGGCAGCCGAGGGCCCCUGACUCGGCUCCUCGCGGCGACAUGGAUCGGAUGGCCAGCUCCAUGAAGCAGGUGCCCAACCCGCUGCCCAAGGUGCUGAGCCGGCGCGGGGUCGGCGCUGGGCUGGAGGCGGCGGAGCGCGAGAGCUUCGAGCGGACUCAGGGUCGCUCUUGGUCUAGCCUUGCCUCCCACAUACCCAGUCUAGAGCCUGGCCGCAUGCCCAUCAAAAGACUCUCACUGCUCUGCCUGCCUUCUUCUGUCCUGGCAUCUAUACCCUCAGACCAGCCUUGCAUCCCUACCCCUGCCAGCCUCCUCCAGGAAGCCUUGCCUCUUCAACUCUCCUGCACCAUCCUCACAUUUCACCCGGCCACUGUCACUGCCAGAGUAGGCACCACUCACCUGUCUGAUGGCCCAGCCACUGUGCCCAUCUCCAACCAGACCCUUGGUGUGUUCCCUACCCAGUCCAUCACAAGCCACCUUCAAGCUUUAGGGAAGUGAAAA
Molecule: small RNA, 501 nt
Filed under: Pongo abelii (Sumatran orangutan)
Lineage: Eukaryota; Metazoa; Chordata; Mammalia; Primates; Hominidae
Description: processed transcript
Source: RNAcentral